Long non-coding RNA from Cuculus canorus (common cuckoo), 994 nucleotides. RefSeq lists it as uncharacterized. The record is from RefSeq and is a predicted model, not a curated record. The transcript is spliced from 5 exons. NCBI's taxonomy places the organism in Eukaryota, Metazoa, Chordata, Aves, Cuculiformes, Cuculidae.
UCCCUUCCUCCCCUGCCUUUCCUGCCUCCCCUGGCCCCGUUCUCCCUCCUCUCAGCGGCGCCGGCUCCGGGGCGCUUUUUGGAGGGGGAGGCCAGGCGGUGAAUUCCAGCCGGAGCCCCCGCGGGCUGGCCGCGCUCUGCUAUUCUUUCAGGGCUCCAGCCUUACUCUCUCUGCAGGAAACAGAGGAGCUGAUCCAAGUUCAAAGUCACGUCGCCGUCCCUCCUAAGAAGUGCUUUAUUUCCCUCCGAACCGCAAAACCCCUUUCCCCCCCAUGUCACCGGGUUUCUGGAGGUGCCAGCCCUGCAGAGCAAACCUCAGCCUUCCCGGGAAAGCACUCCCCUCCUUGGGUUGGCCCCGUCCAAAACCAUGGCAGCCCGGGCAGCCGCCUUCUCUUCCCGGUGUCCUAAAAACGUGCGAAUUUCCACCCACUCAUAAAAAGAAAUUGAUCGGGGGGAUAUAUUUGAAUUAAGACGUAUUAAAUCGAUGACAGAUACACACCACGCUGCGUUUAACAGGAGCGGGACACGGAGGCAUGAGCAAGCAUCACCGAGACCCCCACCACGACCAGGCGAACCCUCGGCAGCAUCGGCUUGGCUCCGGGGGGCACCGACGGGUCCCCCAUCAGGGGAAAGGGGACCAGGGCUCCCCGCGGGGCUGGUUCCUGCCCUCCCGCCUCUGUCUCUCUUUUGGCCAAAUCCUGGGAGUUUUCCCCACGUGAGUAGAGGGGGAAAGGGAGGAGAGGAGGGCUGGAGCCCGGCCCGGGAAAUGCCGCACCAGCACGGGGCUUCCAUUGGACGUGGCUCGGCAAGGGACACGCAGAUGUGCUUUGCUCGAAGGAACAAGGUGGCCGGGGAGGGCCGGGAGGGGGUGUAUGUCCCCUGGCAUCCCCCGCCCCGUUUCUUCUCCUGCUGCCCCCCAGCACUGCACUUUCUUAAGGAGCGCCAGGCAUUCCCAGGAGGACCAGCAGACUAAGGAAAGUAGAUGACAUAUCAAU